CCUCCUUAUACGAUUUAGAACUUAUUUGUUCGUAGUGUCCACACAGAUGAUUGUUAGUUAGUUUUACCCUCUGGGUUAACUAAUUAAUAUGCUCUUUAAAAAUUUGGAAAAGCUGAUAAUAAAAUUCGUAUGAAUAACAUUGUUAUUUGUACAGAGUUUUCAAAAGUAAAAAAGAAUGAUAGCAGUAUCAUUCAGUGCCAAUUUAAUCCUCGGAUUAAUUGGUAUCUACUUUAGUAUUCAAUAUUAACUUCUGGCGAAGUUAAACUGUCACGAAACAAAGACCCGUUUGGGUUGUAUGGUUAAGUGACUAAGCGUACACGGUGGAUGC
RNAcentral lists this unclassified non-coding RNA (328 nucleotides) under uncultured Gammaproteobacteria bacterium. RNAcentral describes it as "partial 16S-23S ribosomal RNA intergenic spacer". The record is from RNAcentral. RNAcentral also lists the same sequence under 1 other name. Lineage: Bacteria; Pseudomonadati; Pseudomonadota; Gammaproteobacteria.